AGACUCUCUGUGCAAGCAACCUAAGAACAUUCUCCAAGCUACACUCCCUUUGUGAAGACUUGUACCCAUCAUCAAUGGUCUCCAUAGGCGAACAAAAGUUGUUUUUAGUGGCCUGGAUUCCCAACACCACCCCCCUUGUGACACCAGCUGCCUCCUCAUCUCCUCAUCUCAGUCUCUCUGCAGUACAGCUUCUUUCCAUCUCCCCACAUCUCCUUCCCUUCCACCAUUUAUCCCUUGGCCCACCAGAGAAUUGAAACGUCCCUCAUGUUUCUUUCUUCCUCCCUUCUUUCCUUUCUCUGCCAGUCUUUGCCAUUCCCAUCUUUUGUGUCCUAAAGACUGAUUCUACCCAGGAAGCUUUCUCAGUUUGAUCCCCUGGAAGGCUGAGGACACACAAGAGCUUUGUGCUACUUCAGAGGACACAUAAGCUCGUUGUGCUAACAUACCACAUGAUUUCAUGUGUUGGCUACAUGCUGCAUUAAAAGGAACUGUCUGACGUGGAAAUGAUUUUAGGGUUUGGACAACAGAAGAUAGAUGGAAAAAGAAGGAAAUUCUCAACAAGUCUUAAUUUUGAUAAUUCUGUUCUUCCCGGCUGUUACCAAGGAGGUGCCUCCUGGAUGCUAUUGCCUAGGAUGUUAAUCUCCAGACAGAGCUUAUACACUGAGAGUACGAAGAAAAUCA
This 678-nucleotide long non-coding RNA is filed under the name Marmota monax (woodchuck). The record is from RNAcentral. Lineage: Eukaryota; Metazoa; Chordata; Mammalia; Rodentia; Sciuridae.